CCUACGGGAGGCAGCAGUGGGGAAUAUUGGACAAUGGGCGCAAGCCUGAUCCAGCAAUGCCGCGUGAGUGAUGAAGGCCUUAGGGUCGUAAAGCUCUUUUACCAGGGAUGAUAAUGACAGUACCUGGAGAAUAAGCUCCGGCUAACUCCGUGCCAGCAGCCGCGGUAAUACGGAGGGAGCUAGCGUUGUUCGGAAUUACUGGGCGUAAAGCGUACGUAGGCGGUUAUUCAAGUCAGAGGUGAAAGCCCGGGGCUCAACCCCGGAACGGCCUUUGAAACUAGGUAGCUAGAAUCUUGGAGAGGUCAGUGGAAUUCCGAGUGUAGAGGUGAAAUUCGUAGAUAUUCGGAAGAACACCAGUGGCGAAGGCGACUGACUGGACAAGUAUUGACGCUGAGGUACGAAAGCGUGGGGAGCAAACAGGAUUAGAUACCCUGGUAGUCCACGCCGUAAACGAUGAUAACUAGCUGUUCGGGCACUUGGUGCUUGAGUGGCGCAGCUAACGCAUUAAGUUAUCCGCCUGGGGAGUACGGUCGCAGAUUAAACUUAAAGGAAUUGACGG
RNAcentral lists this ribosomal RNA (559 nucleotides) under uncultured bacterium. RNAcentral's name for it is "bacterial SSU rRNA". It matches the Rfam family "Bacterial small subunit ribosomal RNA", at positions 338 to 916 of the family's 1533-position model. The record is from RNAcentral.